ACCCUCAAGCGGGGGACAACAUCGGGAAACCGGUGCUAAUACCGCAUAAGCUCACGGACUGGGAUGUCUGUGAGAAAAGGAGCAAUUCACUUGAGGAUGGGCCUGCGGCCUAUCAGGUAGUUGGCGGGGUAACGGCCCACCAAGCCUAAGACGGGUAGCCGGACUGAGAGGUUGAACGGCCACACUGGAACUGAGACACGGUCCAGACUCCUACGGGAGGCAGCAGUGGGGAAUUUUGCGCAAUGGGGGAAACCCUGACGCAGCGACGCCGCGUGGAGGAUGAAGGUCUUCGGAUUGUAAACUCCUUUUGUCGGGGAAGAUAAUGACGGUACCCGGCGAAUAAGCCACGGCUAACUCUGUGCCAGCAGCCGCGGUAAGACAGAGGUGGCAAGCGUUGUUCGGAAUUACUGGGCUUAAAGGGCGCGUAGGCGGUGGAGUAAGUCUGAGGUGGAAGAUUAGGGCUUAACCCUAAAAUUGCCUUGGAAACUGCAUCACUUGAGUCAGCGAGGGGAUGGCGGAAUUCCAGGUGUAGCGGUGAAAUGCGUAGAUAUCUGGAGGAAGGCCGGUGGCGAAGGCGGCCAUCUGGCGCUGAACUGACGCUGAGGCGCGAAAGCGUGGGGAGCAAACAGGAUUAGAUACCCUGGUAGUCC
Molecule: ribosomal RNA, 650 nt
Filed under: uncultured bacterium
Lineage: Bacteria
Description: bacterial SSU rRNA
Rfam family: Bacterial small subunit ribosomal RNA
Source: RNAcentral